Molecule: ribosomal RNA, 797 nt
Filed under: uncultured bacterium
Lineage: Bacteria
Description: bacterial SSU rRNA
Rfam family: Bacterial small subunit ribosomal RNA
Source: RNAcentral
GCUCAGGACGAACGCUGGCGGCGUGCUUAACACAUGCAAGUCGAACGGUGAACGAGGGAGUUUGCUCCAUCCGGAUCAGUGGCGAACGGGUGAGUAACACGUGAGUAAUCUGCCACGAACUCUGGGAUAAGCGUUGGAACCGACGUCUAAUACCGGAUACGACGCGCGAAGGCAUCUUCUGCGCGUGGAACGAACUUCGGUUCGGGAUGAGUUCGCGGCCUAUCAGCUUGUUGGUGAGGUAAUGGCCAACCAAGGCGACCAGGAUUAGCCGGCCUGAGAGGGUGACCGGGGACCCUGGGACUGAGACACGGCCCAGACUCCUACGGGAGGCAGCAGUGGGGAAUAUUGCACAAUGGGCGCAAGCCUGAUGCAGCAACGCCGCGUGAGGGACGACGGCCUUCGGGUUGUAACCAUCUUUUAGUAGGGAAGAAGCGAACGUGACGGUACCUGCAGAACAAGCACCGGCUAACUACGUGCCAGCAGCCGCGGUAAUACGUAGGGUGCAAGCGUUGUCCGGAAUUAUUGGGCGUAACGAGUUCGUAGGCGGUUUGUCGCGUCUGCUGUGAACACCAGAGGCUCAACCUCGGGCCUGCAGUGGGUACGGGCAGACUAGAGUGCGGUAGGGGAGAAUGGAAUUCCUGGUGUAGCGGUGGAAUGCGCAGAUAUCAGGAGGAACACCGAUGGCGAAGGCAGUUCUCUGGGCCGUAACUGACGCUGAGGAGUGAACGCGUGGGGAGUGAACAGGAUUAGAUACCAUGGUAGUCCACGCCGUAACCGUUGGGCGCUAGAUGUGGGGA